GUGCUUUCUUCAGCAGCACAUAUACUAAAAUUGGAGUGAUACAGAGAAGAUUAGUAUGACCCUUGUGCAAAGAUGACAUGCAAAUUUGUGAAGCAUUUUGCAUUUUU
RNAcentral lists this small nuclear RNA (107 nucleotides) under Dasypus novemcinctus (nine-banded armadillo). Lineage: Eukaryota; Metazoa; Chordata; Mammalia; Cingulata; Dasypodidae. The record is from RNAcentral.